AGCAGCCGCGGUAAUUCCAGCUCCAAUAGCGUAUAUUAAAGUUGUUGCAGUUAAAAAGCUCGUAGUUGAAUUUCGGGGUUUAUCCGUUGGUCGGGCUUUUGGGUCUGUACUGGCGUGAUGGAUUCCUACCUUCUGAAUAACCAGCAUGUCAUUAAUUUGGUGCGUUGGGGAAGCAGGACUGUUACCUUGAAAAAAUUAGAGUGCUUAAAGCAGGCUAUUGCCUGAAUACAUUAGCAUGGAAUAAUGAAAUAGGACGCAUGGUUCUAUUUUGUUGGUUUCUAGGAUCACCGUAAUGAUUAAUAGGGAUAGUUGGGGGCAUUAGUAUUCAAUUGUCAGAGGUGAAAUUCUUGGAUUUAUUGAAGACUAACUUCUGCGAAAGCAUUUGCCAAGGAUGUUUUCAUUAAUCAAGAACGAAAGUUAGGGGAUCGAAGACGAUCAGAUACCGUCGUA
This 450-nucleotide ribosomal RNA is filed under the name uncultured Glomeromycotina. RNAcentral's name for it is "SSU rRNA". It matches the Rfam family "Eukaryotic small subunit ribosomal RNA", at positions 569 to 1022 of the family's 1831-position model. The record is from RNAcentral. Lineage: Eukaryota; Fungi; Glomeromycota.